Molecule: ribosomal RNA, 253 nt
Filed under: uncultured prokaryote
Description: partial 16S ribosomal RNA
Rfam family: Bacterial small subunit ribosomal RNA
Source: RNAcentral
UACGGAGGGUGCAAGCAUUAAUCGGAUUUAUUGGGCGUAAAGGGCGCGUAGGCGGGGAUGUAAGUCAGAUGUGAAAUCCCGAAGCUCAACUUCGGAACAGCAUUUGAAACUACAUUUCUAGAGGAUAGGCGGAGAAAACGGAAUUCCACAAGUAGCGGUGAAAUGCGUAGAGAUGUGGAAGAACACCAGUGGCGAAGGCGGUUUUCUAGCUUAUACCUGACGCUAAAGCGCGAAAGCAAGGGGAGCAAACAGG